GGGCCUGUUGAUGGUUCAGGGCUUCAGCGUUGCCACCUGAUGCCGCGGGUUCGAUUCCCGUCAGGUCCA
Molecule: transfer RNA, 69 nt
Filed under: Candidatus Parcubacteria bacterium
Lineage: Bacteria; Candidatus Parcubacteria
Description: tRNA-Gly
Source: RNAcentral